UACGUAGGGUGCGAGCGUUAAUCGGAAUUACUGGGCGUAAAGUGUGCGCAGGCGGCAGAGCAAGUCGAGUGUGAAAGCCCCGGGCUUAACCGUGGAGGGUCAUUGGAAACUGGGGGACUUGAGUGCAGGAGAGAAGAGUGGAAUUCCACGUGUAGCGGUGAAAUGCGUAGAGAUGUGGAGGAACACCAGUGGCGAAGGCGGCUCACUGGCCCGAUACUGACGCUGAGGUGCGAAAGCGUGGGGAGCAAACAGG
This 253-nucleotide ribosomal RNA is filed under the name uncultured bacterium. RNAcentral's name for it is "partial 16S ribosomal RNA". It matches the Rfam family "Bacterial small subunit ribosomal RNA", at positions 524 to 776 of the family's 1533-position model. The record is from RNAcentral.